UGCAACUCUUAAUCUCGCUACUUCCCCCUCCUCUCUUCUCUCUUCUCCCUCUCUCUCCUCUUUUCUCUACCGCUGUCUCUGAGCCUUCUUCUUCCCUUUUCCCUAAAGAAGUUGAUCCAGAAAUUCGAAAAGGCCUGGGCAGAGUUGUUGAAUGGGAUGUGCAAUUAGAGCGGGGAUUUUGUUGGGAGGCAAGAGGGUCCCCCAGGCUCCACAUAGGCCAGGUCGGCGGGCAAGGAAAGACGGCUGACCAGCUCAGCGGGCGCGGUUUGCACAUGGUUUGCACGUCGGGCCGCCUCUUUCUGCCUAUAAUUCGGCUGCCUCUCUGAGGAGUGGCGGAGGAGCUGCGGGAGCUGAGAAGCCCAAGAGCUCUCUGGACCCAGAAAAGUCCCACAGAUGCCCACUCCUCACCACACAACAGAAGGAGCUCUGGUCCUGCCUGCCAGCCCCAGAGGGCACUCAAACUUUGGAGGCCAGCCACCCGGAUGAAGUGAAUAAGGCCUGAAAAUUGCUUGUUUGCUCGUAUUGUAAAAUAAUAAUAAUUACCAUUAUCAUUUUAA
This 557-nucleotide long non-coding RNA is filed under the name Pongo abelii (Sumatran orangutan). Its description in RNAcentral is "lincRNA". Lineage: Eukaryota; Metazoa; Chordata; Mammalia; Primates; Hominidae. The record is from RNAcentral.